This 626-nucleotide ribosomal RNA is filed under the name uncultured bacterium. Its description in RNAcentral is "bacterial SSU rRNA". It matches the Rfam family "Bacterial small subunit ribosomal RNA", at positions 1 to 627 of the family's 1533-position model. The record is from RNAcentral.
UAGAGUUUGAUCCUGGCUCAGAUUGAACGCUGGCGGCAGGCUUAACACAUGCAAGUCGAGCGGGGAAGGGUAGCUUGCUACCUGACCUAGCGGCGGACGGGUGAGUAAUGCUUAGGAAUCUGCCUAUUAGUGGGGGACAACAUUCCGAAAGGAAUGCUAAUACCGCAUACGCCCUACGGGGGAAAGCAGGGGAUCUUCGGACCUUGCGCUAAUAGAUGAGCCUAAGUCAGAUUAGCUAGUUGGUGGGGUAAAGGCCUACCAAGGCGACGAUCUGUAGCGGGUCUGAGAGGAUGAUCCGCCACACUGGGACUGAGACACGGCCCAGACUCCUACAGGAGGCAGCAGUGGGGAAUAUUGGACAAUGGGCGCAAGCCUGAUCCAGCCAUGCCGCGUGUGUGAAGAAGGCCUUUUGGUUGUAAAGCACUUUAAGCGAGGAGGAGGCUACUUGGAUUAAUACUCUAGGAUAGUGGACGUUACUCGCAGAAUAAGCACCGGCUAACUCUGUGCCAGCAGCCGCGGUAAUACAGAGGGUGCGAGCGUUAAUCGGAUUUACUGGGCGUAAAGCGUGCGUAGGCGGCUUCUUAAGUCGGAUGUGAAAUCCCUGAGCUUAACUUAGGAAUUGCAUU